RNAcentral lists this unclassified non-coding RNA (331 nucleotides) under Hevea brasiliensis (rubber tree). Lineage: Eukaryota; Viridiplantae; Streptophyta; Magnoliopsida; Malpighiales; Euphorbiaceae. The record is from RNAcentral.
UUAUAAGUUAAUAUACAUACAUGUGGUAAUCCCAGUUGUCUUACUUUCACCUUCUACGUACAAAUUUUUUAUUUUUUUUUUACAUUUUCAGAUCAAAAAAUUCUAAGUGGUUGUUGGGGUUUUCAGAAGCUUCAUCAUGAAGUUGAAUUUCAUAUCUGGAGAGGUCCUGGGCUGGGGCCAGUUUGCUCCUUCUGGUACCUUAAUACAUUUGAAACCUUGGCCUUUGUAUAGUUUUGUAGCCCCAGGAUUGUUCAGAUCACAAUGCAAUGCAAUGGCGCGACAGCCCCAGCUCCUGGCCUGAGCCUCUGCUUUUGCUAUAAGUCUCUUAGCU